RNAcentral lists this ribosomal RNA (288 nucleotides) under Pseudomonas sp. MP1-1. RNAcentral's name for it is "partial 16S ribosomal RNA". It matches the Rfam family "Bacterial small subunit ribosomal RNA", at positions 112 to 403 of the family's 1533-position model. The record is from RNAcentral. Lineage: Bacteria; Pseudomonadati; Pseudomonadota; Gammaproteobacteria; Pseudomonadales; Pseudomonadaceae.
AAUGCCUAGGAAUCUGCCUGGUAGUGGGGGACAACGUUUCGAAAGGAACGCUAAUACCGCAUACGUCCUACGGGAGAAAGCAGGGGACCUUCGGGCCUUGCGCUAUCAGAUGAGCCUAGGUCGGAUUAGCUAGUUGGUGGGGUAAUGGCUCACCAAGGCGACGAUCCGUAACUGGUCUGAGAGGAUGAUCAGUCACACUGGAACUGAGACACGGUCCAGACUCCUACGGGAGGCAGCAGUGGGGAAUAUUGGACAAUGGGCGAAAGCCUGAUCCAGCCAUGCCGCGUG